UGGGGAAUAUUGGACAAUGGGCGCAAGCCUGAUCCAGCAAUGCCGCGUGCGUGAAGAAGGCCUUCGGGUUGUAAAGCACUUUUAUCUGGAGCGAAAUCUGCAGGGCUAAUACCCAUGCAGUCUGACGGUACCAGAGGAAUAAGCACCGGCUAACUUCGUGCCAGCAGCCGCGGUAAUACGAAGGGUGCAAGCGUUACCCGGAGUUACUGGGCGUAAAGCGUGAGUAGGUGGUUACUUAAGUCUGCUGUGAAAGCCCCGGGCUCAACCUGGGAAUUGCAGUGGAUACUGGAUAGCUAGAGUAAGGUAGAGGGUAGUGGAAUUCCCGGUGUAGCAGUGAAAUGCGUAGAGAUCGUGAGGAACACCAGUGGCGAAGGCGGCUAGCUGGACCGGCAGUGACACUGAGUCACGAAAGCGUGAGGCGCAAAC
This 426-nucleotide ribosomal RNA is filed under the name uncultured bacterium. RNAcentral's name for it is "bacterial SSU rRNA". It matches the Rfam family "Bacterial small subunit ribosomal RNA", at positions 355 to 773 of the family's 1533-position model. The record is from RNAcentral.